UAUUUUAUCAGGACAAUAAUGAUCAGCAAAUUAUAAGUUUUCAAAUAAUACUUUACAGGGCAUAAUUUGUUUAAAAUCCAUUAUUACAAUUGGAAGUAACAGA
Gopherus evgoodei (Goodes thornscrub tortoise) is the source of this 103-nucleotide long non-coding RNA. RefSeq lists it as uncharacterized. The transcript is spliced from 3 exons. The record is from RefSeq and is a predicted model, not a curated record. Lineage: Eukaryota; Metazoa; Chordata; Testudines; Testudinidae.